CCUACGGGUGGCAGCAGUGGGGAAUAUUGGACAAUGGGCGAAAGCCUGAUCCAGCCAUGCCGCGUGUGUGAAGAAGGCCUUCGGGUUGUAAAGCACUUUCAGUGGGGAAGAAAGCCUUGGGGCUAAUACCCUCGAGGAAGGACAUCACCCACAGAAGAAGCACCGGCUAACUCCGUGCCAGCAGCCGCGGUAAUACGGAGGGUGCGAGCGUGAAUCGGAAUUACUGGGCGUAAAGCGCGCGUAGGCGGUCUGAUAAGCCGGUUGUGAAAGCCCCGGGCUCAACCUGGGAACGGCAUCCGGAACUGUCAGGCUAGAGUGCAGGAGAGGAAGGUAGAAUUCCCGGUGUAGCGGUGAAAUGCGUAGAGAUCGGGAGGAAUACCAGUGGCGAAGGCGGCCUUCUGGACUGACACUGACGCUGAGGUGCGAAAGCGUGGGUAGCAAACAGGAUUAGAUACCCUUGUAGUC
RNAcentral lists this ribosomal RNA (465 nucleotides) under Vreelandella stevensii. Its description in RNAcentral is "partial 16S ribosomal RNA". It matches the Rfam family "Bacterial small subunit ribosomal RNA", at positions 338 to 795 of the family's 1533-position model. The record is from RNAcentral. Lineage: Bacteria; Pseudomonadati; Pseudomonadota; Gammaproteobacteria; Oceanospirillales; Halomonadaceae.